UACGGAGGAUCCAAGCGUUAUCCGGAUUUAUUGGGUUUAAAGGGUGCGUAGGCGGCUUAAUAAGUCAGUGGUGAAAGCCGAUCGCUUAACGAUCGAACUGCCAUUGAUACUGCUAGGCUUGAGUAUAGAUGAGGUAGGCGGAAUUGACAGUGUAGCGGUGAAAUGCAUAGAUAUUGUCAAGAACACCAAUUGCGAAGGCAGCUUACUAAGUUAUAACUGACGCUGAGGCACGAAAGUGCGGGGAUCAAACAGG
This 253-nucleotide ribosomal RNA is filed under the name uncultured bacterium. RNAcentral describes it as "partial 16S ribosomal RNA". It matches the Rfam family "Bacterial small subunit ribosomal RNA", at positions 524 to 776 of the family's 1533-position model. The record is from RNAcentral.